UUUUCAUCAGACAAUCUGUGUGAGCACUGCAAAGUACGCUUCUUUAAGGUAAGGAGGUGAUCCAACCGCAGGUUCCCCUACGGUUACCUUGUUACGACUUCACCCCAGUCAUGAAUCACAAAGUGGUAAGCGCCCUCCCGAAGGUUAAGCUACCUACUUCUUUUGCAACCCACUCCCAUGGUGUGACGGGCGGUGUGUACAAGGCCCGGGAACGUAUUCACCGUGGCAUUCUGAUCCACGAUUACUAGCGAUUCCGACUUCAUGGAGUCGAGUUGCAGACUCCAAUCCGGACUACGACGCACUUUAUGAGGUCCGCUUGCUCUCGCGAGGUCGCUUCUCUUUGUAUGCGCCAUUGUAGCACGUGUGUAGCCCUGGUCGUAAGGGCCAUGAUGACUUGACGUCAUCCCCACCUUCCUCCAGUUUAUCACUGGCAGUCUCCUUUGAGUUCCCGGCCGGACCGCUGGCAACAAAGGAUAAGGGUUGCGCUCGUUGCGGGACUUAACCCAACAUUUCACAACACGAGCUGACGACAGCCAUGCAGCACCUGUCUCACGGUUCCCGAAGGCACAUUCUCAUCUCUGAAAACUUCCGUGGAUGUCAAGACCAGGUAAGGUUCUUCGCGUUGCAUCGAAUUAAACCACAUGCUCCACCGCUUGUGCGGGCCCCCGUCAAUUCAUUUGAGUUUUAACCUUGCGGCCGUACUCCCCAGGCGGUCUACUUAACGCGUUAGCUCCGGAAGCCACGCCUCAAGGGCACAACCUCCAAGUAGACAUCGUUUACGGCGUGGACUACCAGGGUAUCUAAUCCUGUUUGCUCCCCACGCUUUCGCACCUGAGCGUCAGUCUUUGUCCAGGGGGCCGCCUUCGCCACCGGUAUUCCUCCAGAUCUCUACGCAUUUCACNNNNNNNNNNNNNNNNNNNNCCUGGAAUUCUACCCCCCUCUACAAGACUCAAGCCUGCCAGUUUCGAAUGCAGUUCCCAGGUUGAGCCCGGGGAUUUCACAUCCGACUUGACAGACCGCCUGCGUGCGCUUUACGCCCAGUAAUUCCGAUUAACGCUUGCACCCUCCGUAUUACCGCGGCUGCUGGCACGGAGUUAGCCGGUGCUUCUUCUGCGGGUAACGUCAAUUGCUGCGGUUAUUAACCACAACACCUUCCUCCCCGCUGAAAGUACUUUACAACCCGAAGGCCUUCUUCAUACACGCGGCAUGGCUGCAUCAGGCUUGCGCCCAUUGUGCAAUAUUCCCCACUGCUGCCUCCCGUAGGAGUCUGGACCGUGUCUCAGUUCCAGUGUGGCUGGUCAUCCUCUCAGACCAGCUAGGGAUCGUCGCCUUGGUGAGCCGUUACCUCACCAACAAGCUAAUCCCAUCUGGGCACAUCUGAUGGCAAGAGGCCCGAAGGUCCCCCUCUUUGGUCUUGCGACGUUAUGCGGUAUUAGCCACCGUUUCCAGUAGUUAUCCCCCUCCAUCAGGCAGUUUCCCAGACAUUACUCACCCGUCCGCCACUCGUCAGCAAAGCAGCAAGCUGCUUCCUGUUACCGUUCGACUUGCAUGUGUUAGGCCUGCCGCCAGCGUUCAAUCUGAGCCAUGAUCAAACUCUUCAAUUUAAAAGUUUGAUGCUCAAUGAAUUAAACUUCGUAAUGAAUUACGUGUUCACUCUUGAGACUUGGUAUUCAUUUUUCGUC
This 1682-nucleotide ribosomal RNA is filed under the name Salmonella enterica subsp. enterica serovar Paratyphi A. Its description in RNAcentral is "16S ribosomal RNA". Lineage: Bacteria; Pseudomonadati; Pseudomonadota; Gammaproteobacteria; Enterobacterales; Enterobacteriaceae. The record is from RNAcentral.